This 256-nucleotide ribosomal RNA is filed under the name uncultured bacterium. Its description in RNAcentral is "partial 16S ribosomal RNA". It matches the Rfam family "Bacterial small subunit ribosomal RNA", at positions 96 to 353 of the family's 1533-position model. The record is from RNAcentral.
UGGCGGACGGGUGAGUAAUGUCUGGGAAACUGCCUGAUGGAGGGGGAUAACUACUGGAAACGGUAGCUAAUACCGCAUAACGUCGCAAGACCGAAGAGGGGGACCUUCGGGCCUCUUGCCAUCGGAUGUGCCCAGAUGGGAUUAGCUAGUAGGUGGGGUAACGGCUCACCUAGGCGACGAUCCCUAGCUGGUCUGAGAGGAUGACCAGCCACACUGGAACUGAGACACGGUCCAGACUCCUACGGGAGGCAGCAUG